RNAcentral lists this ribosomal RNA (496 nucleotides) under uncultured bacterium. RNAcentral describes it as "bacterial SSU rRNA". It matches the Rfam family "Bacterial small subunit ribosomal RNA", at positions 28 to 533 of the family's 1533-position model. The record is from RNAcentral.
GAUGAACGCUAGCGGCAGGCCUAAUACAUGCAAGUCGAACGGAUAGCUUCGGUUAUUAGUGGCGAACGGGUGCGUAACGCGUAAGUAACCUACCUUCUACAGGGGGAUAGUUUUGGGAAACUGGGAGUAAACCCGCAUGAGGCAUUUUUCACGGCAUCGUGGGAUUGUUAAAGCUACGGUGUAGAAGCUGGGCUUGCGUCUGAUUAGCUAGUUGGGGGGGUAACGCCCACCAAGGCUAUGAUCAGUAGGGGCUCUGAGAGGAGCGGCCCCCACACUGGCACUGAGACAGGGGCCAGACUCCUACGGGAGGCAGCAGUAGGGAAUAUUGGGCAAUGGGCGGAAGCCUGACCCAGCCAUGCCGCGUGCAGGAAGAAGGCGUUCAGCGUUGAAACUGCUUUUAAUGUGGAAGAAGAGUCAUUCUGCGGGAUGAUGUGACGGUACCAUGGAAUAAGCACCGGGCUAACUCCGUGCCAGCAGCCGCGGUAACUCGUCUCUA